UGUGGCUCCUGUGAUCCGGUGCCAGUUCGUUUCACGUCGUAACUACCUUUUGUUUUUGUUUCAGAUCUUCUUGGGAACAGGCAGGUGGAAAAAUUCCUGUGAAAAUAAGCUUCAGCAGCAUAUCCCAAGGGCAUCCUUUCCUUAUGCCAAUAUUGACAUUCGAACGCAAGGUGUAACAACUGGUAUAGUGUAACCUCUGCUCAACCACUACAUCUCGUUGUGAAACUGACUGUAAAGACCAGCAAAUGUCUGCUACCCCAGCUGAUAUUGAGACUACCCUCACUCUGCCCGCAAGUCCUCGCCUGAUACUGGCUGUUUCAGGAGGAACAGGGCGAGCCAUGACUGGACGCUGGAUAAUCACCCUUGAGGGAGUGUCAUAUCUGAUGGCAUCAAACCAACAUUUUUGACUGGACUUGCUGCUGUGUUUGCAAUAUACUAUAUCUUCAACCUGCAGUAUCAAGAAGAGUUGGCCCUCUUAUUAAUUAAUUCGGAGGUUUCCAUUUAGUCUCUGAACUUCCGGGGUAAGGUUGUCUCCAAGAAGACUGGUGAGAUGGUCCAGAGGAAGACUAUGACAGUGAAUACACACAUCUCCACACUACUGAAGAACCUCAUCGACUUUGAAUGGGACUUCGUAUAUUGCAACAAUGAAUCCAGUGAGAGCAACAACUAGCAUGAUGUUGAUGCAAGUGAUGUUCAUCUCUACCAGAACCAGACUCCUAAAGCAUGUUGCUACUGAUGUAUAUUUUCAAAUAGUUCUUUCUGAUGUUUGUCUUCAGAAUAUUCUUAAUACACUUUUUAAAAUGUAAGUUUUAAUAGAGUUUUUAUUUUUAUUUUUAUUUUUUACAAAUGUUGCUUUUAAUUAAUACUAUUACAACAUAUACAUAUAAAUACAUCUUAUGUCUCAGGUGUUAUCUUGUUUGGUAAGGGACUCUCUGACAUGCAAUUGAUGAAAAAUUCCCAUUGAUUUGAGCAGACAUUAUUAGGCACUUUUUAUUUUGCUACUCAAAAAUUCUUUUGGUUUGUCUCUCUGGGUCAUCCAUGUUUUCUGCUGUUGUUUUUCACAGUUAACAGCUAUAAUGUUGACACUUGCCUAUUAAGUAAAGGUGUGUUUGAUUUA
Molecule: long non-coding RNA, 1117 nt
Organism: Centropristis striata (black sea bass)
Lineage: Eukaryota; Metazoa; Chordata; Actinopteri; Perciformes; Serranidae
Exons: 6
Source: RefSeq, a predicted model, not a curated record